GACAGCCGGGCGGCCGCUGUUACCCCUUGGGGUAAUGGAGGAAAGUCCGGGCUCCACGGAAAAACGGCGGCGGGUAACGCCCGCCGGGGGUGACCCCAGGGAAAGUGCCACAGAAACAAACCGCUAACGUCUUCGGGCGCAGCAAGGGUGAAAAGGUGCGGUAAGAGCGCACCGCCGUCCUGGCAACAGGGCGGGUCCAGGCAAACCCCGCCGGGAGCAAGACCAAAUAGGGAUGGCGCGAAGAGGCGACUCUUCAGGCUUUUUCCGGGCCAGCCAUCCGGGUAGGUUGCGCGAGGCGCUUGGCGACAAGCGUCCCAGAGGAAUGGCCGUCGCGGAAGGUUCGCCUUCCAAACAGAACCCGGCUUACAGGCUGUCUGGCUAU
This 382-nucleotide RNase P RNA is filed under the name Alphaproteobacteria bacterium. Its description in RNAcentral is "partial RNase P RNA component class A". It matches the Rfam family "Bacterial RNase P class A". Rfam says of the family: Ribonuclease P (RNase P) is a ubiquitous endoribonuclease, found in archaea, bacteria and eukarya as well as chloroplasts and mitochondria. Lineage: Bacteria; Pseudomonadati; Pseudomonadota; Alphaproteobacteria. The record is from RNAcentral.